GAUGAACGCUGGCGGCGUGCCUAAUACAUGCAAGUCGAGCGAACGGACGAGAAGCUUGCUUCUCUGAUGUUAGCGGCGGACGGGUGAGUAACACGUGGAUAACCUACCUAUAAGACUGGGAUAACUUCGGGAAACCGGAUCUAAUACCGGAUGAUAUUUUGAACCGCAUGGUUCAAAAGUGAAAGACGGUCUUGCUGUCACUUAUAGAUGGAUCCGCGCUGCAUUAGCUAGUUGGUAAGGUAACGGCUUACCAAGGCAACGAUGCAUAGCCGACCUGAGAGGGUGAUAGGCCACACUGGAACUGAGACACGGUCCAGACUCCUACGGGAGGCAGCAGUAGGGAAUCUUCCGCAAUGGGCGAAAGCCUGACGGAGCAAAGCCGCGUGAGUGAUGAAGGUCUUCGGAUCGUAAAACUCUGUUAUUAGGGAAGAACAUAUGUGUAAGUAACUGUGCACAUCUUGACGGUACCUAAUCAGAAAGCCACGGCUAACUACGUG
Molecule: ribosomal RNA, 497 nt
Filed under: uncultured bacterium
Lineage: Bacteria
Description: partial 16S ribosomal RNA
Rfam family: Bacterial small subunit ribosomal RNA
Source: RNAcentral